Molecule: long non-coding RNA, 774 nt
Organism: Nilaparvata lugens (brown planthopper)
Lineage: Eukaryota; Metazoa; Arthropoda; Insecta; Hemiptera; Delphacidae
Exons: 4
Source: RefSeq, a predicted model, not a curated record
UGCACUGCUUUUCCCGGCUAUCUAGUGCAUACGAUGCAUCUAGUGCACUAUGGAGCGGAGUUUCCCAUUUUCCAAAUAUUAUGCAGUUUCCCAGAUUCAUUCGCGAUUUGUAAAUUAUAAAAUUUGGAAUAAUUAUUGAGUUAACGAGGUGGAGGAGAGGCAUUCGUGACGGCAAUGUAGGUCACAGAAAGUGCAAGCUAGCCAGCUGACUUUUCUGCAUUUCUUGUACAAUCAUUGAUACGCUCGUUUUCAUCUGAUGAUGUAGUCUACACUCUACACCACUUUCCCUCGAUGCGCAACAACUGGGCCAACAGAGAAGGUGAAACCUACCAAUCUCAGAGCUCCCACCCGCCGCCAUUACAGAUUGCAAUUUCACUAGUCACUAUCUCUAGUGAUUGUGAAUCACUUAUAAUCACUGCAGCAAGUAACCAGAUGAUUACAGGUUUACAAAUUGAGUGCUGUAUCAGCGAUAGGUAGGCCUGCUCAUUGCAUAUCAUCGUGUGAUAUUCAAAUUUCAGUAAUUUGUAUUCCCCUAAGUUCAAGGACGUGGUUUGACAACAUGAAACAUCUGCAAUAAAAAAGGAGUCGAUCCUCUUCUGCCCAACUGCUCCACUGCUCCAUGGAAUGUGAAUUUUAUUGUAAUUCAAUUUUGUUGGGUUUUGUGAGAUUUGAUAGCAAAAAUGUCAAUUAAAAUUGAUUUUCCUUGUACAUUCAUUCUUAUAUCGACUCAAUCCCUGUCUGGCAAAAGGUGGUUUAGCUCACUUCGAUUACUUG